RNAcentral lists this long non-coding RNA (2272 nucleotides) under Bemisia tabaci. RNAcentral's name for it is "lncRNA ENSSSA1UGG011052". The record is from RNAcentral. Lineage: Eukaryota; Metazoa; Arthropoda; Insecta; Hemiptera; Aleyrodidae.
ACGCAAAGAAUAUGCCCGUAAUCGAGUCAAGUGGCCCCGAUUAUUCACGUAAAGUCCCCUCGCGUAAAUCGGUUCACUUGACGACGUCGAGUUGAGGAGAAUGUUCGGCCAAUCGGAGAUGAGAACUGACAUGUCCGGCCAAUCGGAGAUGAGAACUGGCAUGUUCGGCCAAUCGGAGAUGAGAACUGGCAUGUUCGGCCAAUCGGAGAUGAGAACUGGUAUGUUCGGCCAAUCGGAGAUGAGAACCGGCAUGUUCGGCCAAUCAGAGAUGAGAGCUGGCGCGGUGAUGGGUCAACGCCCGCCGCGGAAGUCUCUCUUCGAGGACGACGCCGAUGACCCUCCCUCGGGGUACCCAACACCGGAGCCGGACUGCGCGGAGACCAAGUACUCGCAGAUCAACAAGAACCUGCAGAACAUCAUCUCGUUUUGCACAAAUAAACUCGGGACCAUCCAAAACCAAUCCGAAGUCCUUCAGGGGGAACUGGAACACUGCAAGGCCCAGCAACAGCAGAUCUUCGAGGGCGGCUUCCCGGACAGCAUCGUCGAGGGUGACGCUGGUAUGGCGUCGGCCAGAUUUUCCUACCGGUCCGACGCCGGGCAGGUCCCCCAGAAAAUGCGAUUCAGGAGUCCUGACAGCUACGUGAAGUGCCAGCAGGAGAAGCAAAGGGACACGAACGGGGUCGAAUCCCAGUUCAUCCCUGGCGGGAGGGCCCGAUCGGUGCCAGCAUCGUUCGCGCAGCGACUCCAGGCGGUGGAGCAGGAGGCUGCCGCCCGGAAGAUAGCCGUGCGCAGGUGGAUCCGGCCGCAGUCACCGGAGGUCCCGGCUGGCCCCGGGCCGCUCCUGACCAAGCUACGUAACCUCACCGGCUCGCCGAUCAUCCCGCUCGACUGCCCCAAGUGCCAGCUCGAGAUUUCCAAACGGGAGCUCGAGACCAUGCGAAGGAACCUCUACCGCGCUCAGGGGCUACACCACUGUCAAAUGGAUUGUUGCGGUUGCGGUUGCGGGGGCGACGAGGAGCCGACAGGCCUGGCCGAGUGGGCGUGCACGUGUGGUGUGGGGCGGCAAAGAGGGCGUCGAGACCUGCACCGCGAAAAGGGGCGCGACCUGGCGUUAGCCACUCCGGUCCGGAUACCCGUCGGACUCGGCCACAGCAACCGGUUCAACGGCUGCCUCCGGUCCUGCAGUUUCAACGCGACGCCUUUGUCUCUCCAUUGCCCCGGCAACAACGGUUGCUGCCACCAUUUGGAUGUCAUCCACAAUGUCGUCCCCAACUUCGUCCACCACGAGGACACCCACGGCAAAUGCAGGGAUUGCCAUAGACAAGACAUGCUUCACGACGCGCUGAAAUUGAAAAAUUCCCUGGAUAUGCAAUACGAGCAACAAAGGACAACGAGCCUGCACCGUCACUACGAAUCCGGAACUAAAUGUUGUAGCGGAAGCGGAAAUGGGUCUGGCGGUUGCGGAAACACAUGCUGGACCGGAAGUGACGACGGGAGGUGGACGACGAAAGCGGAAAUGCCUCGCGCGACGGUACGGAAGGUGACCGAGAUCGGCGACUGCGCGGAGAAGAGCGGCCGGACAGCUGGAGGCAGAAGUGAGGACGAAGACGGGGGAAGCGGAAAUGGAGGAGAAAGCGGAAACGGAAGUGACAGUGGCGGACACAAGAGCAGAUACUUGGACACGACAAGAUCCAGCGAUCCCGACCUUGAUCGGAGCUGUUGCUCGGGGGAGUCGGUGAGGUCCAACGCCGAGUUUGCGUAUUUUGAGGAGCGGAUAGGUCCCUAUCCCUCCAAUUCCGUCCCCUCCAUUGACGAGUGAUCCGCAAAUCGUCGUUUUUCUUCUCAACUGAUAGUGAAAAGGUGAGAGGCACUGCGGUGUGACACGGAACAUCAACCAGCACACGCGGACGGAGACGCAGUGGUCGGGCGCGGCGGUGACGAAGAAGGACAUCGUCUGCGAGAAGAUUUUCUUCACGAGCGGGGCCGGCGGGAAGGCGUUCAAGGACCUCGGCGACAUCGACAGUGAGGCCACCGUGCAGACGACGUGGAGUCCCGAGGGGUUCCAGCUCACCCGGACCAUCAAGAAAGUGGAGAACUUCAAGACGAACUGCCGCGGGGACUGCUCGUCCACGCCGACCACCCAGGACACCCCGCCGUCUCCCAAGGGUCUUCAGUCACCCGUCUGCGAGGCUGUCGAGAUUAAGUCGUUCAAGCCCCUCUGCCGCCACCCUCAAGACCCAGACCACGCCUGUUCCCUCGGCACCGCUUACCG